RNAcentral lists this ribosomal RNA (640 nucleotides) under uncultured Brevibacterium sp. Its description in RNAcentral is "bacterial SSU rRNA". It matches the Rfam family "Bacterial small subunit ribosomal RNA", at positions 235 to 885 of the family's 1533-position model. Lineage: Bacteria; Bacillati; Actinomycetota; Actinomycetes; Micrococcales; Brevibacteriaceae. The record is from RNAcentral.
GGCCUAUCAGCUUGUUGGUGGGGUAAUGGCCUACCAAGGCGACGACGGGUAGCCGGCCUGAGAGGGCGACCGGCCACACUGGGACUGAGACACGGCCCAGACUCCUACGGGAGGCAGCAGUGGGGAAUAUUGCACAGUGGGGGAAACCCUGAUGCAGCGACGCAGCGUGCGGGAUGACGGCCUUCGGGUUGUAAACCGCUUUCAGCAGGGAAGAAGCGAAAGUGACGGUACCUGCAGAAGAAGUACCGGCUAACUACGUGCCAGCAGCCGCGGUAAUACGUAGGGUACGAGCGUUGUCCGGAAUUAUUGGGCGUAAAGAGCUCGUAGGUGGUUGGUCACGUCUGCUGUGGAAACGCAACGCUUAACGUUGCGCGUGCAGUGGGUACGGGCUGACUAGAGUGCAGUAGGGGAGUCUGGAAUUCCUGGUGUAGCGGUGAAAUGCGCAGAUAUCAGGAGGAACACCGGUGGCGAAGGCGGGACUCUGGGCUGUAACUGACACUGAGGAGCGAAAGCAUGGGGAGCGAACAGGAUUAGAUACCCUGGUAGUCCAUGCCGUAAACGUUGGGCACUAGGUGUGGGGGACAUUCCACGUUCUCCGCGCCGUAGCUAACGCAUUAAGUGCCCCGCCUGGGGAGUACGG